AUUCAACUGAUGAAUCGCCGAUAAGACGAAACACCUGUUCUGAAU
This 45-nucleotide non-coding RNA is filed under the name Schistosoma mattheei. Lineage: Eukaryota; Metazoa; Platyhelminthes; Trematoda; Strigeidida; Schistosomatidae. The record is from RNAcentral.